GGGCCGGUAGAUCAGCCGGGAGAUCGCCCGCCUUGCACGCGGGAGGUCGCGGGUUCGAAUCCCGCCCGGUCCA
RNAcentral lists this transfer RNA (73 nucleotides) under Nitrososphaeria archaeon. RNAcentral's name for it is "tRNA-Ala". It matches the Rfam family "tRNA". Rfam says of the family: Transfer RNA (tRNA) molecules are approximately 80 nucleotides in length. Their secondary structure includes four short double-helical elements and three loops (D, anti-codon, and T loops). Further hydrogen bonds mediate the characteristic L-shaped molecular structure. tRNAs have two regions of fundamental functional importance: the anti-codon, which is responsible for specific mRNA codon recognition, and the 3' end, to which the tRNAs corresponding amino acid is attached (by aminoacyl-tRNA synthetases). tRNAs cope with the degeneracy of the genetic code in two manners: having more than one tRNA (with a specific anti-codon) for a particular amino acid; and 'wobble' base-pairing, i.e. permitting non-standard base-pairing at the 3rd anti-codon position. Lineage: Archaea; Thermoproteati; Nitrososphaerota; Nitrososphaeria. The record is from RNAcentral.